Molecule: long non-coding RNA, 236 nt
Filed under: Capsicum annuum
Lineage: Eukaryota; Viridiplantae; Streptophyta; Magnoliopsida; Solanales; Solanaceae
Description: long non-coding RNA (CANN_LNC012418)
Source: RNAcentral
CUAUUCCCUUCUCAGAACAUAUUGACUAAGUGAUCCACUGCUCAUGUCUGUAUCUGGAAGCUAAGACUGUAACUUUAAAACUAAAAUCUAAAGUAAAAAUAAUAUUUGGAUAAGUCUGUGAGCCUUUACAUUUAGGGAACAAUAACUCAUCUCAAAGGAACAUACUUUACUUUAGGAACUGAUCAUUUACUCAUACUAGUAGGAAAAAAAUACUCUCUUUAAGAAAAAAAAUAUAU